Molecule: ribosomal RNA, 579 nt
Filed under: Saccharomyces cerevisiae (brewer's yeast)
Lineage: Eukaryota; Fungi; Ascomycota; Saccharomycetes; Saccharomycetales; Saccharomycetaceae
Description: partial large subunit ribosomal RNA
Rfam family: Eukaryotic large subunit ribosomal RNA
Source: RNAcentral
GUCUUAGUACGGCGAGUGAAGCGGCAAAAGCUCAAAUUUGAAAUCUGGUACCUUCGGUGCCCGAGUUGUAAUUUGGAGAGGGCAACUUUGGGGCCGUUCCUUGUCUAUGUUCCUUGGAACAGGACGUCAUAGAGGGUGAGAAUCCCGUGUGGCGAGGAGUGCGGUUCUUUGUAAAGUGCCUUCGAAGAGUCGAGUUGUUUGGGAAUGCAGCUCUAAGUGGGUGGUAAAUUCCAUCUAAAGCUAAAUAUUGGCGAGAGACCGAUAGCGAACAAGUACAGUGAUGGAAAGAUGAAAAGAACUUUGAAAAGAGAGUGAAAAAGUACGUGAAAUUGUUGAAAGGGAAGGGCAUUUGAUCAGACAUGGUGUUUUGUGCCCUCUGCUCCUUGUGGGUAGGGGAAUCUCGCAUUUCACUGGGCCAGCAUCAGUUUUGGUGGCAGGAUAAAUCCAUAGGAAUGUAGCUUGCCUCGGUAAGUAUUAUAGCCUGUGGGAAUACUGCCAGCUGGGACUGAGGACUGCGACGUAAGUCAAGGAUGCUGGCAUAAUGGUUAUAUGCCGCCCGUCUUAAAACCCGGGCACACA